This is a long non-coding RNA of Cryptotermes secundus, 989 nucleotides long. RefSeq lists it as uncharacterized. NCBI's taxonomy places the organism in Eukaryota, Metazoa, Arthropoda, Insecta, Blattodea, Kalotermitidae. The transcript is spliced from 4 exons. The record is from RefSeq and is a predicted model, not a curated record.
UUAAGCUUUAGCAUCUUUGGUUUCGGUAUGGUCAGUAUGUUGGUAAACGGUACGUAAUGCUUUUGCAUGAUGAAAGUCACAUAAGCCGCAAAAACUGUGUGUGACGGUGGUGUACGUUGCCCGUGGAAAAAGUCGAUGUAAAUGAGACGCCCAGACAAGUGGCCCAGAAUGCCGGGAGGAAAAAGAAGUGGAAGCAAGUGUGUUUCAGUGGGUGCUGGAGGGAGGAGUGGAUUUGAUUCUACAUGUGUGGUAUCCACCUACUGUUCAGGAGAAUCUACGUCCCCUCAGAUAACAUUAUGGGUCUGAAUAUCUGAGUUCCAUUUAUGUGCUGGCACCAUGAUCUGCAGGAAACCAGGGCAGUGUGUGGAAGAGUGGUAAUUGAACUUGAAAUUCCCUACACCUCCAGUGUUACUUACCAGAUGUAAACCAGGCCAGUCUUCAGGAAUAGUAAGCACUGUGAAGUAUAGAGCUUUGUAAGUUUUAGUUCCUUGGGGGAAUUUUGAAGAGUUGGAUGUGUGCAAAAUGUUUCUGACAGCAUGAGCCUGCAGUGUCUUGGUUAUUGAUAUUAUGCCCCAGUUAUUAUAACCUCAGGUAACUGAACUUGGCCCUUCCCUGCCCGAAUGAACAGUGACAUGAAUCAUGAACACAGUGUGACAGGUUUUGUCUCCAUCAUGCAGUAUUAUGUUAUUGUAGGAAAAUAAAAGUUAUGUUGUUGUGGGCUUCUGUGGAAUAGUAUUCAUACCAUGUAAACGAAUUUCCCAUGAAUCCACUGGUACUAAUUGUACGAUUAGUAUUAUUAUUUGUGCCCUGUUAGUGAAACAUGUACGUUGUACAGUUGUGUUUCUUGUGUUAUCACACAUUUUGGAGGUGAUGACAGUUACCAAGUAGUGUGUAGAGUUGACUGGAUUUCUUUAUACUUGAUUGAGUUUGAUGCUUGUUAUGUACAGUAGAUUAUUCUAGUGAGAGGAAUAAAGUAAGUAUUCAGUGGC